UAGGGAAUCUUCGGCAAUGGACGAAAGUCUGACCGAGCAACGCCGCGCGAGUGAAGAAGGUUUUCGGAUCGUAAAACUCUGUUGUUAGAGAAGAACAAGGGUGAGAGUAACUGUUCACCCCUUGACGGUAUCUAACCAGAAAGCCACGGCUAACUACGUGCCAG
This 164-nucleotide ribosomal RNA is filed under the name uncultured bacterium. Its description in RNAcentral is "partial 16S rRNA". It matches the Rfam family "Bacterial small subunit ribosomal RNA", at positions 355 to 511 of the family's 1533-position model. The record is from RNAcentral.